This is a long non-coding RNA of Sebastes umbrosus (honeycomb rockfish), 182 nucleotides long. RefSeq lists it as uncharacterized. The transcript has 2 exons. NCBI's taxonomy places the organism in Eukaryota, Metazoa, Chordata, Actinopteri, Perciformes, Sebastidae. The record is from RefSeq and is a predicted model, not a curated record.
UUAACAUACAGUGAGAGUUGGGGGCUAUUAAUUUGAAAAACAAACAUCAUCCAGAGCUUCCUGUUAAGAAACAGUUAUAUCUGAGAAUUAUUUUGACAUCUAAAUGACUUUUUCUAUCCCACAAAUGAAGGUUUGUCUGCAAAUUACUGUACAGUUACCAUAUGUUUUAGGACAAAUGUCAG